This 465-nucleotide ribosomal RNA is filed under the name uncultured bacterium. RNAcentral's name for it is "partial 16S ribosomal RNA". It matches the Rfam family "Bacterial small subunit ribosomal RNA", at positions 28 to 507 of the family's 1533-position model. The record is from RNAcentral.
GACGAACGCUGGCGGCGUGCUUAACACAUGCAAGUCGAACGGAAAGGCCCUGCUUGCAGGGUACUCGAGUGGCGAACGGGUGAGUAACACGUGGGUGAUCUGCCCUGUACUUUGGGAUAAGCUUGGGAGACUGGGUCUAAUACCGGAUAGGGACCAUCUUCUGUGUGGUGGUUGGAAAGUUUUUUCGGGGUAGGAUGAGUUGGCGGCCUAUUAGCUUGUUGGUGGGGUAAUGGCCUACCAAGGCGGCGACGGGUAGCUGGCCUGCGAGGGUGUACGGCCACACUGGGACUGAGAGACGGCCCAGACUCCGACUGGAGGCAGCAGUGGGGAAUAUUGCACAAUGGGCGCAAGCCUGAUGCAGCGACGCCGCGUGGGGGAUUAAGGCCUUCGGGGUGUAAACUCCUUUCGCUAUGGACGAAGCUUUUUGUGACGGUACCUAGAUAAGAAGCACCGGCUAACUACGUG